RNAcentral lists this ribosomal RNA (450 nucleotides) under uncultured bacterium. Its description in RNAcentral is "bacterial SSU rRNA". It matches the Rfam family "Bacterial small subunit ribosomal RNA", at positions 354 to 796 of the family's 1533-position model. The record is from RNAcentral.
GCUAAGAAUAUUCCGCAAUGGACGAAAGUCUGACGGAGCGACGCCGCGUGGAUGAAGAAGGCCGAAAGGUUGUAAAAUUCUUUUGUCGGGGAAGAAUAACCAUGGGAGGGAAUGCCCGUGGGAUGACAUGAACCGGCGAAUAAGCCCCGGCUAACUACGUGCCAGCAGCCGCGGUAACACGUAGGGGGCGAGCGUUGUUCGGAAUUACUGGGCGUAAAGGGCAUGUAGGCGGUUUUGUAAGACUGGCGUGAAAGGCUGCAGCUUAACUGUAGCAUGGCGCUGGUAACUACAAGACUUGAGUCACGGAGAGGGAGCUAGAAUUCCAGGUGUAGGGGUGAAAUCUGUAGAUAUCUGGAAGAAUACCAGUGGCGAAGGCGAGCUUCUGGCCGAUGACUGACGCUGAGGUGCGAAAGCGUGGGUAGCAAACAGGAUUAGAUACCCGGGUAGUCC